GGACUACCGGGGUAUCUAAUCCCGUUCGCUCCCCUGGCUUUCGCGCCUCAGCGUCAGAAAAGGUCCAGUCGAUCGCUUUCGCCACCGGCGUUCCUUCCGAUAUCUACGCAUUUCACCGCUCCACCGGAAGUUCCAUCGACCCCUACCUCCCUCGAGACCGCCAGUAUCCCAGGCAAUUCCCCGGUUGAGCCGGGGGAUUUCACCCCGGACUUGGCGGCCCGCCUACGCGCCCUUUAAGCCCAGUGAUUCCGAACAACGUUCGCACGGUUCGUCUUACCGCGGCUGCUGGCAC
RNAcentral lists this ribosomal RNA (292 nucleotides) under uncultured bacterium. RNAcentral's name for it is "partial 16S ribosomal RNA". RNAcentral also lists the same sequence under 2 other names. The record is from RNAcentral.